UGAUGCCCUCUGAACGCGGCGCCCGAAUGACGGCGUCACCAGCGAACAUAGAGCUAGGAAUGUUAGAGCCUCUCGGUGCAUUUCUUGGUAGGGAAAGGAAGCUUCCUGAAAUUCUGUUUUGAAAAAAUAAUUGGCAAGGAUAGAACGAGUAAAGGGAAAAGGUCGAAUAAGCUCCCAUAUCUUUACAAAUUGAAUAAGGAAAAGGGAUUCUUGUAAGUAUGACAUACAACAGUGAAGAACUAGCAAAACCUGCUUUCUUAAAGAUAAUGUGGUCUUGAAAAUAACGGUCUCGUCUUCCAUCAUUUUGAUCAGAGCUUUUAAAACUUUUCUACUCACAACACCUUUUCACCCAAUAAUUAUUUUACGUGACCCCCGUAACUUUAUUCCUAAAAUAGGGGUUAAAUCAAACAUUUGCUAAUAAGAAAUCAGUAUUUGCAAGGCUUGCUAAACAGGCUGAUUUCCUUUUUUAUGAAGUAUAGCUGAAGCAUCCUCUGCAGAGUGGACUGUAAACACUGCACAACAAAUUCAUGUAAAUGUUUAAGUGACAUUCAGAAAACUUACUGUUGCCAAAUUUUGGGACCCUAACAUUGAGCAAAGUGAACCCCAUUUGGGGUCACGACCCACAGUUUAAGAAGAAAUGCUUUUGGUCUCACUGUUUUAAAGGUCUUGAAUCCAACAUCUUUCCUAAAUUACAUAUAGGCACUAGUUCAAGGGAAUUAAGCACUAGUCUAAUAGCACUUUCAAGUCUUCUAUAGCUCAUCCGAAAUAUUUUGGGAAAGUACAGCCUCUUCACUGAAGAAUUCUGGAUGCUGUUAAAAGAUGUAAUGCACAUUGUAGGAUAUGGGAUAACAUUCCUAAACUGUUAAUCAUCUGUUAGAUUAUUUUGAAAAGACAACUUCACAAAUAAUAAAGCAUAACAAUAUAUGUUCCAAGACUAUUUUUUUUUUGUAUCAGGAGCGACUUGAGAAACUGCAAAUUGCUUCUGGUGUGAGAGAAUGGGCCGUCUGCAAGGAUGUUGCCCAUGGGAUGCCCGGAUGUUUUGAUUUUUUAACCAUCCUUGUGAGAGGCUUCUGUCGUCCCCACAUGGAGCUGGAGCUGACAGAGGGAGCUCAUCUGCGCUCUCCCUAGGUUGGAUUCGAACCAGCAACCUUCAGUUCAGCAACCCAACCUUCAAGUCAUCGGUCCUGCUUGCACAAGGGUUUAAGCCACUGUAACACUGGGGGCAGAUAAAGGCAAAUAGUGCAAUAUUAUGCAUCUGCAAAUGUACAUCUGAGUUUAGUGAGACAAACUCUCAGAUAAGUGUGCAUAGAAUUGCAACAAAAGUUACUUUUAUUAUCAAGUAACACAUAUCUACUGAAGUGGGGAAUGCCUGAAAUCUUAUGAUGACACACUGGAAUUUUGGCUGAGCACCUCCUGAGGAAGGAAAUUUCCCAGAAUAAAAUUAGCACAUUCA
Long non-coding RNA from Anolis carolinensis (green anole), 1453 nucleotides. RefSeq lists it as uncharacterized. The transcript has 2 exons. The record is from RefSeq and is a predicted model, not a curated record. NCBI's taxonomy places the organism in Eukaryota, Metazoa, Chordata, Lepidosauria, Squamata, Anolidae.